This 670-nucleotide ribosomal RNA is filed under the name uncultured bacterium. Its description in RNAcentral is "bacterial SSU rRNA". It matches the Rfam family "Bacterial small subunit ribosomal RNA", at positions 35 to 700 of the family's 1533-position model. The record is from RNAcentral.
GCUGGCGGCAUGCUUUACACAUGCAAGUCGAGCGGCAGCGCGGGGCAACCUGGCGGCGAGCGGCGGACGGGUGAGUAACAGAUAGGAACGUAUCCGGGAGUGGGGGAUAACUAGCCGAAAGGUUAGCUAAUACCGCAUAUUCUCUGUGGAGGAAAGCGGGGGACUCGUAAGGGCCUCGCGCUCGCGGAGUGGCCUAUCUCCGAUUAGCUAGUUGGUGAGGUAAAGGCUUACCAAGGCGACGAUCGGUAGCUGGUCUGAGAGGAUGAUCAGCCACACUGGGACUGAGACACGGCCCAGACUCCUACGGGAGGCAGCAGUGGGGAAUUUUGGACAAUGGGGGCAACCCUGAUCCAGCCAUGCCGCGUGCGGGAAGAAGGCCUUCGGGUUGUAAACCGCUUUUAUUCGGGAAGAAGGAGUGCGGGCUAAUACCCUGCAUGACGGACGGUACUGGAUGAAUAAGCACCGGCUAACUACGUGCCAGCAGCCGCGGUAAUACGUAGGGUGCGAGCGUUAAUCGGAAUUACUGGGCGUAAAGCGUGCGCAGGCGGUUGGCAAAGUCAGCUGUGAAAGCCCCGGGCUUAACCUGGGAAUGGCGGUUGAAACUAGUCGACUAGAAUCUGGCAGAGGGGGGUGGAAUUCCACGUGUAGCAGUGAAAUGCGUAGAGAUGUG